This 26-nucleotide non-coding RNA is filed under the name Homo sapiens (human). The record is from RNAcentral. Lineage: Eukaryota; Metazoa; Chordata; Mammalia; Primates; Hominidae.
UGGCCCUGAUCGUGGAGUGAGUCCUA